This 810-nucleotide non-coding RNA is filed under the name Pan troglodytes (chimpanzee). The record is from RNAcentral. Lineage: Eukaryota; Metazoa; Chordata; Mammalia; Primates; Hominidae.
AUCAGGAGAACAGGGUACAACAGCUGGUGAGAGUUUUGCUUCUGAUAUAGACAAUGCCUGCAGAGCAAACCAUUACAGCUAAGAGAGAUCUUUAAGUGAAAGAAAAGGAGAAGGCUCCAUCUCAGCUUAUUAGAAGACUUGAAUUUGUCUAAUGUCUUGGCUGGGAAAAGCAGCUCAGUUCUCUCUGAAAAGGAAAACCCAAGACAGAAAGCAUGGAUGUGGAAGAAGGCUGGAGUGCAGUGGCGCGAUCUCGGCUCACUGCAAGCUCUGCCUCCCGGGUUCACGCCAUUCUCCUGCCUCAGCCUCCCGAGUAGCUGGGACUAGAGGCGCCCACCACCACAUCCGGCUAAUUGCUUUUAGCACUUUUUUGGGAGAGGAACAGAUGACAAUGCAUUGCCAGGCCUUCAAUACAAAAGGUAUUAGACUCAAGAUUCUACAAGAUUCUGUUUGUGCCAGACACUGAUCAGCAGUGCAAAUAUAAAAUGAAUACAAACAGAUCACGCAUCAGAAUGCCAAUCACUUCCUAGUAACACUGAUCAAAAUUUGCAUUAAAUCAACAGAUCUUUCUUUUAAGAGGGGUGUGGCAACAGUAAAGCUUUCUACAUGUUAAACAGAAUGAACAAAACCAACGCAGAGCAGUGACUUUCUGUCAGAGAGAGCAGAAGGAGACCCUUAUAGAACAGCUGUUCCACUGCUCCAAAGGCCUCGUGUGGUUCUAUCCCUUGGACUGCCUUUCUUCAACAGCCCAGACACCUGCUCUGUCAGAUUUAUAAGCCACACCCCCUAGAACCAUGCCAAUCAAAGCAUGGC